This 480-nucleotide ribosomal RNA is filed under the name uncultured soil bacterium. RNAcentral's name for it is "bacterial SSU rRNA". It matches the Rfam family "Bacterial small subunit ribosomal RNA", at positions 26 to 484 of the family's 1533-position model. The record is from RNAcentral.
AGAGUGAACGCUGGCGGCAGGCCUAACACAUGCAAGUCGAACGGCAGCACAGCAGUAGCAAUACUGCGGGUGGCGAGUGGCGGACGGGUGAGGAAUACAUCGGAAUCUACCUUGUCGUGGGGGAUAACGUAGGGAAACUUACGCUAAUACCGCAUACGCACUACGGUGGAAAGCGGCGGACCGCAAGGCGUCGCGCGAUUGGAUGAGCCGAUGUCCGAUUAGCUAGUUGGCGGGUAAAGGCCCACCAAGGCGACGAUCGGUAGCUGGUCUGAGAGGAUGAUCAGCCACACUGGAACUGAGACACGGUCCAGACUCCUACGGGAGCAGCAGUGGGAAUAUGGACAAUGGGCGCAAGCCUGAUCCAGCCAUGCCGCGUGUGUGAAGAAGGCCUUCGGGUUAGUAAAGCUACGUUUGGUACCGGAAAAGAAACGCGAAGUUUCGGUUAACGUACCCGGGUUGUUCGUAGACCGGUAACCGAAG